Molecule: ribosomal RNA, 1068 nt
Filed under: Triticum aestivum (bread wheat)
Lineage: Eukaryota; Viridiplantae; Streptophyta; Magnoliopsida; Poales; Poaceae
Description: partial small subunit ribosomal RNA
Source: RNAcentral
AUGGCCUCGCCGGCGACGCCGAGGCCGGCGCUGAUCCGGCCGCGGGCCUCGCGCAGCCGCUCCCAGUUGGGCGCCGUCAGCCUCGCUUCCGACCACGCCGCCGCCACGGCCUCCUCGGGCCGCCGCCGCGACUUCGUCUUCGUCGUCAACCCCUCCGGCGCCAAUGGCCGGACGGGCAAGCAGUGGAAGCAGCUGCUCCCCUUCCUCCACACCCGCCUCGCCGACCAAUGCAACAUUUGCGAGUGCAUCACAUCGGGCCCGUCGCACGCCAUAGAUGUCACGAGGGAGGCUAUAAAGGACGGCGCUGAUGCUGUGAUCGCCGUUGGCGGGGAUGGGACGCUUCAUGAGGUGGUGAAUGGCUUCUUUUGGAAAGGAAGCCCGGUCCGUGCUCUUGAUCGAGGGCCUGACCACUUGACGGCGCUUGGUCUCAUCCCACUUGGAACUGGCUCAGACUUUGCUAGGACAUUUGGCUGGUCAAAUGAUCCCCGUCAGGCGAUUGAUCGAAUUGUGAGAGGAGUUAAAUCAAAACUAGACAUUGGCAUGAUGGAAGGUCCAAAUGGAGAUCCACAUUUCUUUAUAAAUGUUGCUGAUAUCCAUCUGAGUGCCAAGGCAGGUUAUUUUGCUUCUAUGUACAAGAGAUUUGGCAACUUAUGUUAUGUUCUGGGAGCUUUAAGAGGCUUUUGGGGACAUAGUAAUCGAGAUUUGAGAAUAAAGGUGAAUGGAGGGGAAUGGAGAACAGUUGAUAAAGUCACUGCUCUAUGCGUAGGAAAUGCCAAGUACUUUGGAGGUGGCAUGAAGAUUACUCCAACAGUUGAUCCUUUUAGCGGUGACCUUCAGGUUGUUAUUAUACAAGAUUUCAAGUGGUACAGUUUUCUUCUUAAGCUACAUAGGCUUUAUGGAGGCACACACUUAACGGUGAAUGGCGUGUCAUCAAUAAGAGUUCAAUCAAUUGAAGUGGUAGAGGUGGUGCCUAACGGCGACGUCUUUGUGCAAUCUGACGGGGAGCAUUUCGGUUUUCUUCCGACCAAAUUCUCAGUUCUGCCUGGUGCAGUAGAUUUCUUCAGCUAG